CCCUUAGACGUUCUGGGCCGCACGCGCGCUAAACUGACCAGUGCAACAAGCAUCCGUCCUUGGCCGACAGGCUCGGGCAAUCUUUGAACGCUGGUCGUGAUGGGGAUAGACUUUUGCAAUUUUUGGUCUUCAACGAGGAAUUCCUAGUAAACGCAAGUCAUCAACUUGCAUUGAUUACGUCCCUGCCCUUUGUACACACCGCCCGUCGCACCUACCGAUUGAAUGGUCCGGUGAAGCCUCCGGAUUGGCGCGCACCUCGGUGCCGCCGAGAAGUUGGCUAAACCUUACCAUUUAGAGGAAGGUGAAGUCGUAACA
This 315-nucleotide ribosomal RNA is filed under the name uncultured eukaryote. RNAcentral describes it as "partial 18S ribosomal RNA". It matches the Rfam family "Eukaryotic small subunit ribosomal RNA", at positions 1470 to 1796 of the family's 1831-position model. The record is from RNAcentral.